Molecule: long non-coding RNA, 385 nt
Filed under: Vitis vinifera (wine grape)
Lineage: Eukaryota; Viridiplantae; Streptophyta; Magnoliopsida; Vitales; Vitaceae
Description: long non-coding RNA (VVIN_LNC008159)
Source: RNAcentral
UCUGGCAUGUGAUGCAUUUGGUGUGCUCCCACCUGUGAGCAAACUGAACCUGGCACAGACCAUGUACCAUUUUAUCAGUGGCUACACUGCUCUGGUAUGUACCUCAUCCUUCGAUUACUUAUUUCCUUAGAAUGCCACUUUAGUAUUAGUUGGAUAGCCACUUAUUGGUUCGGCUAACCGCUGCCACUAUUCACUGAGUGAAUCUCUUGACAAUGAUUGAAAUAGGUGGCGGGCACAGAGGAGGGUGUGAAGGAGCCACAAGCAACAUUCUCAGCUUGCUUUGGUGCUGCCUUUAUAAUGUUGCAUCCUACUAAGUAUGCGGCCAUGUUGGCCGAGAAGAUGCAGAAACAUGGGGCAACGGCAUGGCUGGUCAACACUGGUUGGU